AGAAAUUUUCCCUUAAGUCGAACAUAGCUUCGUGAAAACGGAGGUAAUAUUCGAUGUGGCCUUUGGAUCUCAUGAUCUAAGGGUUAAAGGUGGGGACCUUCGGGCCUACCGCUUUUGGAUGAUCUCGCGACCUAUCAGCUUGUUGGUGAGGUAAUGGCUCACCAAGGCGUAUGACGGGUAGCUGGUCUGAGAGGAUGGUCAGCCACACUGGGACUGAGACACUGCCCAG
RNAcentral lists this ribosomal RNA (229 nucleotides) under uncultured bacterium. Its description in RNAcentral is "partial 16S ribosomal RNA". It matches the Rfam family "Bacterial small subunit ribosomal RNA", at positions 120 to 334 of the family's 1533-position model. The record is from RNAcentral.